GGGAGGUUAGCUCAGGGGUAGAGCGGUCGCCUCACACGCGACAGGUCACAAGUUCGAAACUUGUACCUCCCACCA
RNAcentral lists this transfer RNA (75 nucleotides) under Sideroxydans sp. RNAcentral describes it as "tRNA-Val". It matches the Rfam family "tRNA". Rfam says of the family: Transfer RNA (tRNA) molecules are approximately 80 nucleotides in length. Lineage: Bacteria; Pseudomonadati; Pseudomonadota; Betaproteobacteria; Nitrosomonadales; Gallionellaceae. The record is from RNAcentral.